GACGAACGCUGGCGGCGUGCCUAAUACAUGCAAGUAGAACGCACAGUUUAUACCGUAGCUUGCUACACCAUAGACUGUGAGUUGCGAACGGGUGAGUAACGCGUAGGUAACCUGCCUGGUAGCGGGGGAUAACUAUUGGAAACGAUAGCUAAUACCGCAUAAUAUUAAUUAUUGCAUGAUAAUUAAUUGAAAGGUGCAAUUGCACCACUACCAGAUGGACCUGCGUUGUAUUAGCUAGUAGGUGAGGUAACGGCUCACCUAGGCGACGAUACAUAGCCGACCUGAGAGGGUGAUCGGCCACACUGGGACUGAGACACGGCCCAGACUCCUACGGGAGGCAGCAGUAGGGAAUCUUCGGCAAUGGACGAAAGUCUGACCGAGCAACGCCGCGUGAGUGAAGAAGGUUUUCGGAUCGUAAAGCUCUGUUGUAAGAGAAGAAUGGGUGUGAGAGUGGAAAGUUCACACUGUGACGGUAUCUUACCAGAAAGGGACGGCUAACUACGUG
Molecule: ribosomal RNA, 505 nt
Filed under: uncultured bacterium
Lineage: Bacteria
Description: partial 16S ribosomal RNA
Rfam family: Bacterial small subunit ribosomal RNA
Source: RNAcentral